Molecule: long non-coding RNA, 751 nt
Organism: Dama dama (fallow deer)
Lineage: Eukaryota; Metazoa; Chordata; Mammalia; Artiodactyla; Cervidae
Exons: 3
Source: RefSeq, a predicted model, not a curated record
UACUUCCUGGGCUGUUUUCAGAAAGAGAGAGAAGGGAGCUUAACAAAUGUUUCCGUGUUUGCUUUUGAAGGGAGGACAGCUAUCUGUUGGGCGCAAGCUGACCCUAGGCUGUUCAUAUGGCAUCUUUGGGGAACUUGAAUCAACAACUUCCAGCUCAGAAGGAAUUUGAAUUUUAAAAGAAGAGCUUCCUAAAGCAAAUGAAUCCCUGAUCCGGGAAGAUCCCACAUGCUGCAGACAACUGAGCCUGUGUGCCAAAACUAUCGAGCAUGUGCUCCAGAGCCCAGGUGCCACAACUGCUGGGUCAAUGUGCCACAACUACUGAAGCUCAAACGCCCUAGAACCUGUGCUCCGCAAGGAGAUGCAUGACCACAACUAGAGAGUAGCCUCUGCUGGCUGCAACUAGAGAAAAGCCCGUGCGGCAACAAAGACCCAGCAUAGCCAAAACUAAAUACAAUUAUUUAGAAAAGAUAAAGCAAAUGAGUCAUGUGGGUUACAAUAACUGUUCAUUGUGCAUAUUUGGGGAAUUGAAAAGCGUACACAUGUACAAGCCUAAGUUUUACAUUCUGAAGCUCUAUAUUAGGGUUUGAACAUCUCUAGUUUAGAAAGACUAUCACUGAUUCUGAUGCCCAGUCAGAGUCGCAAAAUCCUAUCUAUUGGUGAAUUAUUGUGAAAUAUUGUAAGUUUUGCUUUGUCUGUUCUUGACUUAAACAUCCAUUCUGUUAUCCAUGGCUGUGUAAUAAAAUACCUGAAG